RNAcentral lists this long non-coding RNA (6061 nucleotides) under Brassica napus (rape). RNAcentral describes it as "long non-coding RNA (BNAP_LNC009206)". Lineage: Eukaryota; Viridiplantae; Streptophyta; Magnoliopsida; Brassicales; Brassicaceae. The record is from RNAcentral.
GAGUGGUUUAUUUAGCAGGAAAACUGAUAUACAAGAGAACAUGAAGUAUGCCUAUAUAGCCUGUUUGCGUACAAGCCAAACAUCAAAUAGCUACAAACAAACUUAGUCACCUGAUAUUUUAACAAAAACAGAUUAUCACACAGAAUAUAAAAUAAUUACAUUUACCAAUCGCUACUCGCUUGCUUCACCCAACUCAAACCAAAGGGGGCAAAGAUAACCAGGCGACCUCAGAAGAAUUCAAUGUUUUACAAUAGGUAUAAACGUUCAAGAAAAAAAUGGGUUUUAAAUGACAUUAUUAAUCAAACUCAAAAGAUAAACAGUCUUCAAGCAAACUCAUAACCAGGAAGAUACAAGAAGCAACCGGAUUAUAACACAAGAAACAUGAGGUACCAUCUGUGUAUUGGUCGAAAAAUAUUAUAUAUUUAUGUAAAGAAAAGAACAAAGCUCAGUAAGGGUUGUUGUAGUAAUACCCCAUCGGUGGCGGUCCCAUCCCGUUAACCGGUGGCAUCCCAUAAGGCAUUCCGUUUGGGGCAGGACUCAUCUUAGCCAAACUAGCUUGACCUCUCAUCCCUUCUUGCUGAUACUGCUGCCAUAGCUGCUGCUCCUGAGUCAAAAGAUACUGCUUUUUGUCCAUCUCAGCCAUUUGCACAUACGAAGGAGGCGGGAUCGUUAGCGAAGCAGCAAAAGGGUCUUGGUUCACUUUCUGCACGGUUCCAUCAGGUGCAGGGAGCGCUAAUAUAUGGCUGUUGGUCUUACUCGGCAAAGGUAGCGCCACGCUGCUUGAACUCCCACCGGUUAGCUCCGAGGUGCUCACGUGUUGUCUAACAGCUCCUUGAUCGUACAUACCGUUGAGCAGCAACGGGUCUAAACCACCGCCCAUCGCGGCUUUCUGAUGCUCGAGGUUGCUAGCUGUCUCGACCAACGCAAGCUCCCAAUCAGCCUUCCCUUGUUCCGCUGCUGGAUUCUGCCAGGCUGAUGUCACCUCGCUGUUAUCAGAAGAGAACGCUUCCCAUUUUCCGUUACUAGUGACAGGGCCAGCGAAAAGGGCAAGAGCAAACUUGUUUCCUUGGUCAUCAGCACUAACACCAUCCUCCCUCAGGUCAACUAGAUCAUUAGUUACUUGCGGUUGCUCCACUUUCGCCUCUGGCUUAGGCGGAGGCGGCGGAGGAGUAUAGUUCUCCGGAGGAGGAAGCGCUUUGAUCUCGUUCAUAUCCACCUCCGCCGCCUCCUCAGGAGCCGGAGGAGGAGGAGCUUCUAUCUCCUUCCUCUCAGGACUCUUCCCCCUCUUAGCUCUAUCCCUCACAAACUCCUCAAGCGUCUCCAACAACUUACUAGUAAUCCUCUGCACCUCAGGAUACUCAGAAGAUCUCGCCACACCAGUGUCUUUACACCAAUGGUAAAACGCAAUGAGCUCAUCAAUCUGUUUCGCCGCGCUAGCGUAAGCAUCAAAGGCCUUAACGCAAUCCGUAUACUCCAUUUCAAAAAACUUAUCAAGAAGAACCGCCAACACUUCACAAAUAUCAGCGUAAAGCCUGAAACUCUCCUUCACAAUAGGAUACAUAGCAACCAAGAUCAUCCUGCUGCUUUUAGCUAAACCGGUAGGACGAGAAGACAAGAACCGGUCAAGAAGCCUCUGUAAAUGCCCCAUCUUCCCAAAAAUCUUCUCUGGCGGCAUGUCUCUUAACGGAGUAACAGUAACAACAUCUCUCCCUCCACCAAUCUCAUUCACAUCUCCAAAGGACCGUGACCUUUUCGGCAUACCGUAACCGUUCUCGUAAUCAUAACCUCUCUGAGGAGGGGGAGAUCGAAAAUCAUCAUUACUCUGGUGACUACUCCCACUCCCUCCACCGUUCUUCCCUUUCCUCUCGAACAAAGCCAACUCUAGCCUCUGAUCCAAGUAGCUAGCAUACGUCCUCACGAAAGCAGAGUGGUCCCAGGAGCUGGAGUGCGCCUCGUCGCGAAAGUCAGACAUGUUGAGGAUCCUCGUGCCUCGCCUCGUCGCGUAGAGGAUCUCCUCCUGGAAGAGCGAGUCGCCGUCGUUGAGGAGGCGGUGGACGAGCAUUAAGGCUUUGAGCGCGACGAUCCAGUCGCGAGUUUUGCCGAGGCGGCGGGCGACGGAGGUGACGCAGGCGUGGACGUAGCCGCGGGAGAGGGAGGUGAGGCUGAGGAUCUCGCGGAUGUACUUCUCCGUGGACUGGUCGUCGUCGUGGCUCGUGGCUUUGACGAUGGCCACUUCCAGAUCUGGAGCUAUGUUGCUGGCGACCUUGGCUAUGCUGAUGCUCGUCUGGUCCUUCACCACGCCGAUCGCUUUGCGUAUGCUCAACGCCAUGGUGGUUAGGUUUGACUCAAACUCUUCAAUUGAAAAAAAAAACAGAGCAAAAAAAGAAAAAAACAGAGCAAGUUCGUUGAGAGAUUGAAGGAGAUUUCGAGUUUAAUCAGCGAAGAUCGUUACGAAAAUUGAAAAUUGAAAAUUGAAAAUUGAAAAUUGAAAAUUGAAAAUUGAAAAUUGAAAAUUGAAAAUUGAAAAUUGAAAAUUGAUAUAUUAGUUUUGGUAGAAAUAUUCUUUAGAAAAAUACCUUUCUUUCGCUAGAUCUGAGGGAGAGAGAAGUGUUCUCCGGUGGAGGAAAUGUUAUUUCUCAGGCGGAGGAGACGGAAUCGGGAUCUGAGAUCUAUGAGGAAGGUGAAGAAGAUCUCAUAUUACGACUUAUUUGGCGGUGUGACAGAUCCAUCGAACGAGUCCAAGAUGAAGUGGCUUUAGACAGAGGGAGAGGAUUUAAAGAGAGCUUGAGUUGAGGAUGACGUGGAUUAAUGAAAGCCGUUUGAUCUAAAGGAGAUGCGAUAUUUUUGUAACCGGAACUAACGGAGCCGUUUUGUCUGAGUCUCAGACUCUCUGGUCUGAACACUGUUAGUGAUUUUUCUUUUUUUCUUUUUUUUUUGUGAAAAGCAAUGUCAACGUUUUGUAGGAGUUUUUAUAAGUGUUUACAGCUGUUUUAUAGUUUCUUUUACCAGAUUAAUCUCUUUAUAUUUCUAAAAAAUAGUAUUUUUAUUAAUUUGUGCAGAUUUUAAUUUUGUUUUCUUAAAAAUAUUAAACAAAAUUUAGAUAGAAAUUCCUUUACUGUUAAUUUUAACAAUAAUUAAUUGUGACAACAAAUAAUUUUCAUAAAAUAUCUCAGUACAUAUUUAAAUUACCUAAUAAUAAUAAUAAAAUGAGAACUAAUAAUAAUAACAAAAUGAGAAAAUAUUUUCAUUUAGUAUUUUCAUGAAAUACUCAUAAAACAUGUUACUUUAUGAAUGGUACAACUUAAAGAAAUAAAAUUAAUUGCAUUAUUAAUUUAUAAUAAAAUAUUAAUAUUUUGUAAAAAAUCAAGAAUGAAGAAGAUGUCAUAGAUCGAGACGCUCUUACACCCUGACGACAGAAUUACUUAGUAGAAACUGAAGUACAUCUUCGUAAAAAAGGCUAAAACUGAAGUACGUUUCUUCUUUGUUUCCCUGUUAAACUUCGAUCAUUCCUUGACACGGCGCUAAACAUGUCAUUAAGCAUUAAAUAUGUAUAUUACAAUGCAAAUCUGUGACUAUCAUAAAAGGCUUGUAAUUGAGAUCUAAUCAUGUCCAAUCACUCCCGUGGAAGCAUAUACUCCAAUAAGCGGCAUGCCAAUAUUAUAUUCUUUCAUGUCAUUUCAUUUUUGUUUAUUCAUGAUUAUCCAUCUUGUUCUGAUUUGUUCAAAAUUUAUGAUUUUGGAUCAUCUCUAUAUCAAUUUUAAGUGGUUUCAGAUAUUUAAACCAACCAGAUCAAGUGACAUGCCCAAACCCAACCAGUCACGAAAUUUGAUAUCAUGGUUCCACAUCCAUUGAUCUCAGUAUAUGUUCCUAGUUCUUUUGUUUUUCCUAGUUUUGAUCGCGCUAACAGAAUGAAAAUAGCGGCUGGUUUUAAUUCUCCGACAAGAGAUAUGCUGUCGCCGACGUUGUUUCCUCUCUUCUGCGUUUUGUUUCUCUGCUUUCCAGUUGCUGUCAUCUUCACAGUCCAGCGAGAAAUCACCGCCGCUACUUCGCCGGAGUUUGGCUUCCACUCACGAAAUCUACACGCUUCUACUUCGGUGGUUCGAUUUCGUCAGCAGAUUCCUAAAGACGACGAACAGCUUCUCCGACUCGCUUCCCGGGUCAACCCGAACCAGCCUUCUCCCGGGUCGAUCCGGAAGCUGGCUUUUAUGUAUCUAACGACGGCGCCUCUUCCGUUCGCGCCAUUGUGGGAAACGUUCUUUAACGGAAGCAGCAAGGAACUCUAUAACGUCUACGUUCACGCGGAUCCGACCCGAGAGUAUGACCCGGCGUUCGCCGGCGUGUUUGAGAAUCGAGUCAUUCACUCGAAGCCCUCGGAACGGAACACACCCACUCUCGCUUCAGCGGCGCGUCGGCUAAUAGCUCACGCGCUUCUCGACGAUCCACAGAACUACAUGUUUGCUCUCUUCUCGCCUUCAUGCGUACCCAUUCGCUCCUUUGACUUCACUUACAAGACGUUGGUCUCGUCUCGCAAGAGCUUCAUCGAGUUACUCAAAGACGAGCCGUUGCAGUUCGAAAGAUGGGCCGCGCGCGGGCCCAUCGCGAUGCUGCCGGAGGUGAGGUUUGACGAUUUUCGGAUAGGGUCUCAGUUUUGGGUUCUGAAACGGAGGCACGCGCUUGUGGUGGCGCGUGAUCGGCGUAUCUGGGAGAAGUUUAACAAGACGUGUUUGUGGGAAGGCUCGUGCUUUCCCGAGGAAAAUUACUUUCCGACACUUCUUAAUAUGAAGGACCCGCGCGGGUGUGUCCCAGCUACGCUCACGCACGUGGACUGGACCAUCAACGAGGAAGGCCACCCGAGGAUGUAUGAGCGAGAGGAAGUGGUACAUGAGCUGAUAGUGCGGUUGAGGAACACGCGACCGAGAUACGGUGAGGAUGGAAUCAACGGUUCGGAUUGGACAAUUGGGAGGAGUGAUCCGUUUCUGUUUGCUAGGAAGUUUUCUCCCGAGGCUCUGGAGCUGUUGAUGGGUAUGGCUCGAACCGUGUUGUUCAAUGACUCGGCAUGUGGUGCGUGAAUGGUUCUCUGAUGGCUUUGUUGUAAAUUUAGAUGUAGUUUUAGUUCUUUUGUUUUGGUUAAAAAGUAGAAGAAAAAUCAUUGUAAAUCUAUCAUUAUCCAAGGGGUUUGAGCUAGACGUCAAAGCUCAUCGUCAUAGAUUCGCAACUGAAGUUAAGCGUCAGCAAAUUAAUUUACCUCACAAUCACUUACCAAUGUAGUGGGAAGGAAAUGAAUAUAUAUAUAUAUAUGUAUGCAUGCCAAAGUACCUCAAAAUCUUGGGUUAGUCUUCAGUACAUCUCAAAUGGAUAUAAGCAAUUUACUUUUAAUCUUCAGUUCAAGAGAUUUUACAAGUUAGAGAAUCAAAUACAGGAUCAGGAGAGAUGCAAGAAAUUAUCUAAUGUUUCAUGUUAUUCAUUGGCUUAUUAUUCUGUUGUAAGGAGCAAGUGGUAAUACAGUUAUCUAUGUUUAGCACACAUAACUUGGGUUUUAGUACAUUAUUGAAAUGAUGGUGCCAGUUUGUUGUCUGGUGGCUUUAGUUGCUGGUUCGUUUUAAUAUUCAGAUUCUAUUUAUUUUCAUUGGUUUCAUUUACCACUGAAAAAGAGUGUUUUUUGACAAAAAAAAAGAAAAAAAGGAGUGGUUUAUUUAGCAGGAAAACUGAUAUACAAGAGAACAUGAAGUAUGCCUAUAUAGCCUGUUUGCGUACAAGCCAAACAUCAAAUAGCUACAAACAAACUUAGUCACCUGAUAUUUUAACAAAAACAGAUUAUCACACAGAAUAUAAAAUAAUUACAUUUACCAAUCGCUACUCGCUUGCUUCACCCAACUCAAACCAAAGGGGGCAAAGAUAACCAGGCGACCUCAGAAGAAUUCAAUGUUUUACAAUAGGUAUAAACGUUCAAGAAAAAAAUGGGUUUUAAAUGACAUUAUUAAUCAAACUCAAAAGAUAAACAGUCUUCAAGCAAACUCAUAACCAGGAAGAUACAAGAAGCAACCGGAUUAUAACACAAGAA